GCACGGAGUUAGCCGGAGCUUAUUCUCCCGAUACUGUCAUUAUCAUCUCGGGUAAAAGAGCUUUACAACCCUAAGGCCUUCAUCACUCACGCGGCAUUGCUGGAUCAGGGUUGCCCCCAUUGUCCAAUAUUCCCUA
This 136-nucleotide ribosomal RNA is filed under the name uncultured bacterium. RNAcentral describes it as "partial 16S ribosomal RNA". The record is from RNAcentral.